GGGGCCAUAGCUCAGUUGGGAGAGCGCGUCGUUCGCAAUGACGAGGUCGGCGGUUCAAUUCCGCCUGGCUCCACCA
Molecule: transfer RNA, 76 nt
Filed under: Hyphobacterium sp.
Lineage: Bacteria; Pseudomonadati; Pseudomonadota; Alphaproteobacteria; Maricaulales; Maricaulaceae
Description: tRNA-Ala
Rfam family: tRNA
About the family: Transfer RNA (tRNA) molecules are approximately 80 nucleotides in length. Their secondary structure includes four short double-helical elements and three loops (D, anti-codon, and T loops). Further hydrogen bonds mediate the characteristic L-shaped molecular structure. tRNAs have two regions of fundamental functional importance: the anti-codon, which is responsible for specific mRNA codon recognition, and the 3' end, to which the tRNAs corresponding amino acid is attached (by aminoacyl-tRNA synthetases). tRNAs cope with the degeneracy of the genetic code in two manners: having more than one tRNA (with a specific anti-codon) for a particular amino acid; and 'wobble' base-pairing, i.e. permitting non-standard base-pairing at the 3rd anti-codon position.
Source: RNAcentral